Molecule: ribosomal RNA, 253 nt
Filed under: uncultured bacterium
Lineage: Bacteria
Description: partial 16S ribosomal RNA
Rfam family: Bacterial small subunit ribosomal RNA
Source: RNAcentral
UACAGAGGUGGCAAGCGUUGUUCGGAAUUACUGGGCGUAAAGCGCGCGCAGGCGGUUCUUCAAGUCAGUGGUGAAAGCCCGGAGCUCAACUCCGGAAAUGCCAUUGAAACUGUAGAACUUGAGGACGAGAGAGGUGAGUGGAAUUCCCAGUGUAGAGGUGAAAUUCGUAGAUAUUGGGAAGAACACCGGUGGCGAAGGCGGCUCACUGGCUCGUUUCUGACGCUCAGGCGCGAUAGCGUGGGGAUCAAACAGG